This 205-nucleotide long non-coding RNA is filed under the name Homo sapiens (human). Its description in RNAcentral is "HSALNT0023005". Lineage: Eukaryota; Metazoa; Chordata; Mammalia; Primates; Hominidae. The record is from RNAcentral.
GCAGAACCUAAAGGUCCAUAUGGGCAGCAUGCAUACACAGGAAAGUCUACAGUUUGGUACCCCAGGACUCGCUGGUCAGGAAAGCCCUGCAGGACAUGAGUGUUAGGCCCGACGCCUGGCCCUUGGCAGCUUGGGAGGUGGCUGGGGCUGCUUUUGCCUUUGCCAGAGACAGCUCCAACUGAGGACCUCUCCAACGGGCCCAUCC